AAUUUCUUGUCGGAGUGCCCAGUGCGUAAGCCGGGCUGAGACCGUUAAUUCGGGAUCCGCGGAACCUGAUCAGGCUAAUACCUGCGAAGGGAACAAGAGUCAAUCUGCU
Regulatory RNA element from Enterobacter sp. 638, 109 nucleotides. It matches the Rfam family "TPP riboswitch aptamer (THI element)". From Rfam's summary of the family: Vitamin B(1) in its active form thiamin pyrophosphate (TPP) is an essential coenzyme that is synthesised by coupling of pyrimidine and thiazole moieties in bacteria. The previously detected thiamin-regulatory element, thi box was extended, resulting in a new, highly conserved RNA secondary structure, the THI element, which is widely distributed in eubacteria and also occurs in some archaea. Analysis of operon structures identified a large number of new candidate thiamin-regulated genes, mostly transporters, in various prokaryotic organisms. NCBI's taxonomy places the organism in Bacteria, Pseudomonadati, Pseudomonadota, Gammaproteobacteria, Enterobacterales, Enterobacteriaceae. The record is from Rfam.